Suricata suricatta (meerkat) is the source of this 1863-nucleotide long non-coding RNA. RefSeq lists it as uncharacterized. NCBI's taxonomy places the organism in Eukaryota, Metazoa, Chordata, Mammalia, Carnivora, Herpestidae. The record is from RefSeq and is a predicted model, not a curated record. The transcript has 2 exons.
GGGCCCCGCGGGGGGGGGGGGGCAGCGGGACGCGCUCAGUCACGUGGCCAGGUGGAGCACUGACUCCCACUGCGCGUCCUCCAGCCGGGAGCAGUACUUGGUUUUGCUCAGCUUCAUGAUGGAGAAGAGCUGCUCGCAGACGUGGGUGCUCCCAAACAUGGAGAGGACCUUGGCGCAGUGGGCGCUGUACUUGGGGUAGCUGCUCUGCAGGUACUUGCAGAACUCGGGGACCCCGACCUUGUCGUACUUGGCCUUGAGCCCCGUGUUGCACUGCAGGUCGAUGACCUCCAUCUGCAGCGCUUCAUGCACGCUCUCGAUCUUCACCGAGAAAGGGGAGCUGAACAGGGUCAGUUCGCUUUCGCAGAGCUUGAAGUCAGACACCCUUUUCUGGAAUUCCGUCUUCAGUUCCCCGAUCUUGGGAAUGUAGUUCAGGCCAUCGCUUUCAUUUCUGGAGACUGACUUCAGCGUGGGGAAGUGGGCCAGGUUAUUCCUCGCCAGGUGAGUUUCCCAAAGGCACAGCUUGGCCAGGAACGCCCGGAUCAAGUCGUACAUCUGUGUGACGACCUGCGAGUGCCCUUGCAGGGACAUGUUCAAGGUGUUCAGAUGCGUGGUCAUAUCGACCAGGAAGGCCAAGUCUCGGAUCCAGUCCUGAGAGCUCAGCUGAGGCAGGGGCUUUCCUCUGGACGACAUGAAGGAAUCGAUUUCUUCCAGUGACUCAAAAAACCUCUUGAGCACCAGCCCGCGGCUGAGCCACUUGAUCUCGGUGUAGUAGAGCAGGCUGCCGUACUGGCCGUCCAGCUCGUACAGCAGCGUCGUGAACUCGCUGUGGUUCAGACCGCGCGAGCAGACCCAGUUCACGGAGUUCACCACCACGCUCAUGACGUGGUCCAUCUUCAGCUUCUGCGCACAAAGGGAUUCUGGGUGGAUGAUGCAGCGCACGGACUUCAGGUCCGAGUCCUUGCAAACCGCUGCCACCUUGGACUUGAGUUUUGUGACUAGCCCGUCGUUGGCGUCUACCAUCGUGGGGGUGCCAGUCGAGGCCACGCUUACCAGUUUCGACCAGUCGAUGUGAAACUUCUUAAGACUUUUCUCAACACGCAGAAAGAUCUCGUUGCCAGAUUUUGUACCCGUCAUGGGCACCGUGUCCAAGAGCUCUUCCGAUACGUCGAAAUUCUCAUCCACGCCCCGGAUGAAUAUGGCCAGCUGGGUGGUGUUGUUUAUAUCCGUGAUCUCAUCGAUUGCAAGGGAAUAAGCCACAAAUGACUUGAUUUUUUCCCGUAGCUUCUCCCAUAACUUCCCAGCCACGUCUUCUACGGGCUGCACGGCAGCGUUUUCACUGGGACUCGCGUUCACAAACACUGGUUUCUGCUCGGGACCCGUGACUUCUGAGGACCCCAGGAGGUCUCCAGAGAACUUUGAAAUAACAGGGAAUUGGAGGACCACAGAAAGCGAGUGAUUUACCUGCUGUGAGUCACAGAGGACCAUGGUCACAGGAGAACUUACUGUUUGAAAUUUAAAGAAGUCUGGCCACGAAGCAGGUGGGCUCUACUUGGGAGAAAACACAGGCCUGAAAAUUCACUUUCAUAAAAUGAAGGCCGAGAUAAAGUUAAGUCGGUGGUUGCCGGGGGCUGGGAGCAGAGACGGGAAGUGAUGGAACGUGGGUAAGAGAAGUGUUUGGGGGGGGGGCGGUGACAGCAAUGUCCUAAUAUUAGAUUGUGGUGACAGCUGCAUGUUGCACAACUUUGUAAAUUUACUAAAAAUCACUGAUGGGUGUGCUCUUCACCCGAGUGAAUUUUAUGGCACGUAAACUAUUUUUAAGCUACAACAAAAAUGUCAAAAAAAAAAAAGAUCACUUAGCAACAA